RNAcentral lists this small RNA (81 nucleotides) under uncultured Erwinia sp. The record is from RNAcentral. Lineage: Bacteria; Pseudomonadati; Pseudomonadota; Gammaproteobacteria; Enterobacterales; Erwiniaceae.
GAGGCCAAAGUUUAGCGCACGGCUCUUGCCAAAGAGCCAUUUCCCUGGACCGAAGACAGGAAUCGUCUUCGGUCUUUUUUU